AUGGCGCAUUAAAUACAAGCUUGUUUAAUGAGUCAUAAAUCAACUAUUAGGCGUGACAAACGCCAUUAUGCACCAAAAACGAACCAUUAUACACAAUCAUUAUUAUGUCCGACCUUAACAUUUAAACGUCUUAUCAGCAUAAAAAAAGGAUAGGGAGCUUGUACCAAAUAUUUCUAAACUAUAAUUAAAAGUCAUGGUUUUACAGGGUUAGAUAUUUGACUGUGUAUAAACACAG
RNAcentral lists this unclassified non-coding RNA (235 nucleotides) under Moritella viscosa. RNAcentral describes it as "putative sRNA". The record is from RNAcentral. Lineage: Bacteria; Pseudomonadati; Pseudomonadota; Gammaproteobacteria; Alteromonadales; Moritellaceae.